Molecule: ribosomal RNA, 440 nt
Filed under: uncultured bacterium
Lineage: Bacteria
Description: partial 16S ribosomal RNA
Rfam family: Bacterial small subunit ribosomal RNA
Source: RNAcentral
CCUACGGGUGGCAGCAGUGGGGGAUAUUGGUCAAUGGGGGAAACCCUGAUGCAGCAAAGCCGCGUGAGGGAAGAAGGUUUUCGGAUUGUAAAACACUGUUCGUGGGGAAGAUAAUGACGGUAACCAAGGCGAAAGCUCCGGCUAACUACGGGCCAGCAGCCGCGGUAAUCCGUAGGGCGCAAGCGUUGUCAGGAUUGACGGGGGGUAAAGGGUGCGUAGGCGGGAUUGCAAGUCAGACGUGAAAACCAAAGGCUCAACCUGUGGACUGCGGUUGAAGAUGUGGGGCUUGAGUGAAGUAGAGGUAGGCGGAAUUCCCGGUGUAGCGGUGAAAUGAGUAGAGAUCGGGAGGAACACCAGUGGCGAAGGCGGCCUACUGGGCUUUAACUGACGCUGAGGCACGAAAGCAUGGGUAGCAAACAGGAUUAGAUACCCUAGUAGUC